AAAACAUGGAACCGUCCCUGUGAUAAAAGACCACAUUCAUGGUUGGGGUGGUCAUGUGACUUGUCUUGGCUGUCAUGUGUCAGGUGAGGUCCCAUUUCUACCAGAAGACCAAACCAUGUGGACAAGGGUUUUCUGAGUGCGCACAUCUGAAGCACAUGGACGGAAAGUGGCUGUCACAGCAUAUUCAGAGAUGUUCUCCGGAGCUCAAACCUGUGGAGAGAAGAGAGAAGACUGACCUUUGUCCUCAUGAAUUCAGGGGAAAGAAUGACUUCCAAAAGUGCAGGUUCU
Carassius auratus (goldfish) is the source of this 288-nucleotide long non-coding RNA. RefSeq lists it as uncharacterized. The transcript is spliced from 4 exons. The record is from RefSeq and is a predicted model, not a curated record. Lineage: Eukaryota; Metazoa; Chordata; Actinopteri; Cypriniformes; Cyprinidae.